Lagopus muta (rock ptarmigan) is the source of this 6135-nucleotide RNA transcript. It is a transcript of the gene named dynamin 1, with no coding region annotated. Lineage: Eukaryota; Metazoa; Chordata; Aves; Galliformes; Phasianidae. The record is from RefSeq and is a predicted model, not a curated record. The transcript is spliced from 23 exons.
CGGGCGGCAGCGGGCGGCGUCGAGCGGGGCUGAGCGGUGCGGGCCGGUGCUCAGCAGCCGGGCGGGAAGGGGUCGGUACCCGCCGCUGUUAGAGCCGCAGCGGGAGGUCAGCGGGAGCGAGGAGCCGCGCCGCCGCCAUGGGGAACCGCGGGAUGGAGGAUCUGAUCCCGCUGGUCAACCGGCUGCAGGACGCCUUCGCCGCCAUCGGGCAGAACGCUAACCUCGACCUGCCGCAGAUCGCCGUGGUCGGGGGGCAGAGCGCCGGCAAGAGCUCGGUGCUGGAGAAUUUCGUCGGGAGGGACUUUCUGCCACGUGGCUCUGGCAUCGUGACCAGGCGGCCUCUGGUCCUGCAGCUGGUGAACGCCAGCACAGAAUAUGGAGAGUUCCUGCACUGCAAAGGAAAGAAAUUCACAGACUUUGAGGAGAUCCGUUUGGAGAUUGAGGCUGAAACGGAUCGUGUUACUGGCUCCAACAAAGGGAUUUCCCCAGUGCCCAUCAACCUCAGAGUCUAUUCUCCUCAUGUCCUGAACCUGACGUUGGUGGAUCUCCCAGGCAUGACCAAAGUCCCGGUGGGGGAUCAGCCCCCCGACAUCGAGUUCCAGAUCCGAGAUAUGCUCAUGCAGUUUGUCACCAAAGAGAAUUGCCUCAUCCUGGCAGUAUCCCCAGCCAACUCUGAUUUGGCCAAUUCUGAUGCCCUGAAGGUUGCGAAGGAGGUGGAUCCUCAAGGGCAACGCACUAUUGGAGUCAUCACUAAGCUGGAUCUUAUGGACGAGGGAACUGAUGCUAGAGAUGUAUUAGAGAAUAAAUUACUUCCUCUUCGCAGAGGUUACAUUGGUGUAGUCAACAGAAGUCAGAAGGACAUUGAUGGCAAGAAGGACAUUCAGGCAGCUCUGGCUGCAGAGAGAAAGUUCUUUCUCUCCCACCCAGCCUACAGACACAUGGCUGAUCGUAUGGGAACCCCCUACCUGCAGAAAGUAUUGAACCAGCAAUUGACCAACCACAUCCGUGACACCCUGCCAGGGCUGCGGAACAAGCUGCAGAGCCAGCUUCUCUCCAUUGAGAAGGAGGUGGAGGAGUACAAGAGCUUUCGUCCUGACGACCCGGCUCGCAAGACCAAAGCUCUGCUUCAGAUGGUCCAGCAGUUUGCUGUGGACUUUGAGAAACGCAUUGAAGGCUCUGGAGACCAAAUUGAUACCUAUGAGCUGUCAGGAGGAGCCAGGAUUAACCGCAUCUUCCAUGAACGUUUUCCCUUUGAGCUGGUGAAGAUGGAGUUUGAUGAGAAGGAGCUGCGACGGGAGAUCAGCUAUGCCAUCAAGAACAUCCAUGGUAUCAGAACCGGUCUCUUCACACCCGACAUGGCCUUUGAGACCAUUGUGAAAAAGCAGGUGAAGAAGAUUAAAGAGCCUUGCCUGAAAUGCGUGGACAUGGUUAUUUCGGAGUUAAUCAAUACCGUUAGACAGUGCACCAAGAAGCUCAGCCAGUACCCUCAUCUGCGUGAGGAGAUGGAGAGGAUCGUGACAACUCACAUCCGUGAGAGGGAAGGCAGGACCAAAGAUCAGGUUAUGCUUCUAAUAGACAUCGAGCUGGCUUACAUGAACACAAACCAUGAGGAUUUCAUUGGGUUUGCCAAUGCUCAGCAGAGGAGCAGCCAGAUGAGCAAGAAGAAGGCAGCUGGCAACCAGGAUGAGAUCCUGGUCAUCCGGAAGGGCUGGCUCACCAUCAACAACAUUGGGAUCAUGAAGGGUGGCUCCAAGGAGUACUGGUUUGUCCUGACAGCAGAGAACCUCUCCUGGUAUAAGGACGAUGAGGAGAAGGAGAAGAAGUACAUGUUGCCAGUGGACAACCUGAAACUACGAGAUGUUGAGAAGGGGUUCAUGUCCAGCAAGCACAUCUUUGCUCUCUUCAAUACUGAACAGAGGAAUGUUUACAAGGACUACCGACAGCUGGAGCUGGCCUGUGAGACCCAGGAGGAGGUGGAUAGCUGGAAGGCUUCCUUCCUUCGUGCAGGCGUCUACCCAGAACGUGUUGGGGACAAGGACAAAGCCAGUGAAGCGGAGGAGAAUGGAUCGGACAGUUUCAUGCACUCCAUGGAUCCUCAGCUGGAGAGACAAGUGGAAACGAUCAGGAACCUGGUGGAUUCCUACAUGGCAAUUGUCAACAAAACCAUCAGAGACCUCAUGCCGAAGACAAUCAUGCACCUCAUGAUAAACAAUACAAAGGACUUCAUUCAUUCGGAGCUGCUGGCAAACCUGUACUCCUGCGGCGACCAGAACACUCUGAUGGAGGAAUCAGCAGAGCAGGCCCAGCGGCGUGACGAAAUGCUGCGCAUGUACCAUGCCCUGAAAGAGGCCCUCAACAUCAUCGGGGACAUCAACACCAGCACUAUCAGCACCCCAAUGCCCCCACCGGUGGACGACUCUUGGCUGCAGGUGCAGAGCGUACCGUCUGGACGCAGGUCUCCCACGUCCAGCCCCACGCCGCAAAGGAGGGCUCCCGCUGUGCCCCCCGCCAGGCCUGGCUCUCGAGGCCCGGCUCCUGGGCCACCUCCUGCUGGUGGGUCAGCGCUGGGUGGUGCCCCCCCCGUGCCCUCCAGGCCGGGUGCCUCUCCUGAUCCCUUUGGGCCCCCGCCUCAGGUUCCUUCUCGACCUAAUCGUGCUCCUCCUGGUGUGCCCAGUCGUUCAUAGACUCCUCCGGAUCCUGAUACCAGCUUGUCAUUUGAGUUCACUGAUGAAUGGAGAAUUUCCAAUGACAAGGGACUCUUUCUCUUCUUCUCCUGUAUAUAGAAUAAGAAUGUUCCCUGCUAGCACUUGGACUCGGGUCCUUCUGCCAUGGGUGAACGAAUGCCAUCUCCACUGUUGCUUUUUUAAUACCCAUCUUUUUCCUUGCUAACUGGGCUCCACUACUUUGUGUGCGUGUGAAAAGAGCUCGUGUAGGUGGCAUGAGUGGGCUCUGGGAGAUGGAGGUGCGUGGUGGUGGCUGGUUGUGUGCUAUGUGCAUGUGAUACCCACGUGAAGUUCAGCUGUGUGCUUGUGCCACUGUUGGUGGGCAUAUCUGAUGUUGUGGAGGAUGAACUUAAAGACAAAUGUUGCUGUACUUUUCUCUACGUGUGUUUGCACAGACACGUGCUUUCACAUACAAACACCACGUGGUCUGUUUUCUUUCACAGGAAGGUUAUCCUGCAUGUAAUUAAGUACAAUUAAGGCUGAUUUUCUACCAUGCCUCUGUACAUAGCAUUUAUUCAGGAUUUAUGCAGAAGUCUGUGAUACCAAACACCUUGGGAGCUGCAGAUGAUGCCAGGCCCUGUCUCUGUGCAGUGAAGGGCUGCAUUUGGGCUGGAUGCCCACUGGGGCUGUUUAGGAGGAAGUAGUUUAGUUUGUCUGGAAUAGGAAGCUGUAAAGGCACUCUUCCAGGUAUUUAGUCUCUCCAGUUUAAAACAGUUUGACAAAAACUGUAGGUGAAAGUUUAGGCAAAUUCAAGGAAUUCAAUAAGAAAGUUUAAAUGAGAAUAAUUUAACUACUGGAAAAACGUGUGGAAAGCAGUGAUUGGUUCUCUGCUUUUUGGUAAGCCUGAGGAAAAACGAUGCAAGCAACCAGCAUCGCUGUAAGCAUAACUUGUGUGUUUUCAGACUUGAGUUGUUCAGGAGGUCAAAGUAAUGAUCUCAUGAUUAGUGACCUUUUAAAUGUCUUUGUCUUCUGGGCAGUGCUCAGUGCACCAUGGCACCUCCUGCUCUUCUGAGCUCUCUGGUCAUCUCUGACACUUAAUAUAUGGUCAGGAGAUGGUCAGAAGAUACGAAGCCUCAGUGGGUGCCAGGUCACCUCACCUGUGCCCAGGCAGCUGGUGCUGAGACCUGACUUGAGCAGGUGUGAGUGUGCUCAGGGUCUCAGUCUGGAUGUGCCAGCAGACCUGUGUAUCCAGCUGGGUGGGAGGACGAGCAGCAGCUGGUGGUGUGUGGGUAGAUAAAGUGUGCACGGCAGGGUUUUGGGUGCGUGUGAAGGUGAGGCUGUGAGUGGAUGUGAAGUCCUGCAUGGCCGAGUGCAGCCCUCCCCAGCAGUGCACACUUGUGUGGUGUUCUGGGAGGGGGGGCAUGCGAAUGUGGCUCUGUGCAAGCGCAUGUCUGUCUGUUCCACCUUCCUGACAGUCUGUUUGGCCUCUGCCUUGAACUGUCUGAACUGCCAUGUUGAUUUCAUGUUGUCUUUCAGAAUCACUAUCAGUGACCCCUGAGGACUGGCAGCCACGCAGAAGGGGCCCUGCCUCACCUACUCGACCUACCAUAAUCCGACCGGCUGAACCGUCCCUCUUAGAUUUAUAACUCGAGGCUGCAGACAGCUGGCGACGAGCGCCGUGCUGGCGGCUUCCCAUCCCACCUCCCUUCCACAGCCACAGUCACUCCUCAUCCAUCCCACACCUGCUUCCCUCUAUCCCUUCCCAGUGUGUGGUACAGCACUAGCCUAGCGAUCGAGCUCUUCGUCUCCACCCGUGCGUCCUGUAUUGCUUUGUGAGCGUAGUGUAGCCUUCAUUUGGUGGCACGGAUCCCAGAAACACGGGCUCCUGGGAGAGAUCAGCCACAGGGACAUCCCUCAGUCCGCACGUUGGCUGUCUGUCCUGUUCUCAUCUGCCUGUCUGGCCUGGAUCAGUGUCCUGCCUGCAUCACCUAGCUGUAGCACCACCUAGGACUGAGCUGUAGUGAAUUCCUUGUAGUUAAGAAGAUACAAGCGUGACUUAGAAGCAAAAACGCUGUCAAAAUGUGACGCUCUUAGGAACAGAUUAAAUGUCCUGUGUGUAUUAGUUCGACUUCCAAGGUGCAAAAACUCAUGUUGGGAACAGUGCAAUCUACCUUAUAUCAAAGCGAGGCAGGGAGGUGAGGAGGGGGAGCUUGAUGGGGAGCACUCAGACCUGGUGCUCAGCUCCCAUCAGAGCUGGGGGUGCUGCGGUGCGGCCGUGCUCCUGUCAGGCUGUGCUCCAUCGCAUUGGGCUCAGCCCCAACCCAGCGGGGAGAGGGAAUGGCUGCUGCUGCUCCCCCUGCAAACGGACACCCCAAUGUUUUCAGGGAGUUUUGCUGCGUGAUGUUCUAUUGAAGCUAUUUCUGCUUUGAAUAAGCACAUCUUUGUGUUUUUUUGGGUACUGUGGUGACUUCUUCCGUAGCCUUUUCUUGCAUGUGGAUGGUACGUGUUUGGGGAACUUGUAACUGUUGCUUAUCACAACUCAUCCCCCUGAGGCUUGAUUUCUACUCUUCAUGUUAUGUGUAUUAAAAAUAUGACAAAAAAAAAGACUUCAGCAUUAAAAAUAUACCACCCUGUGCAUCUGGGCUGUUGUGUCUCCACCAGCAGUGAGCCACCCGUGUCGCAGCUGAUUUGCAUUCAGGUUAUCUUUUUGCAGCGUCUUCGGUUUCUGUCGUGGCUCCUCUAUUGUUCCGAGGCCGAUUCCUUUCUGUAUUUUAACCAUUGUUUUACUGCUUCUCCCCCUCUCCCUUCCUUUCCCCUUUUCCUGUUUCGUUUCCAGCCGGCCGGGUAAGGCCAGCCCCUCCCGCCCGGAGAGCCCCAAGCCACCAUUUGACAUGUAGUGCUGCUCCCUGCGAGACUCUUUGCCUGCUCUUAGCUGUUCUGUCCGGGAGUGUUCGGACUCAGCUCUCACCCCUGGUUUGUUCUGUUUGUAUUUGUGACACACACCUAUCGGCUGUGACUGUAGUAAAGCUGUUUUUGAUUCCCAGCUGCUUCGAGGAGUUGAAAUUGUAGUAAUGAGAAACAUAUCUUUACUGUUAUAAAUAUCUAUAAAUAUAUAUAUAUAAAGAUGGAAAAUCUAUAUAUGUCCAGGUGUUUAAAGCCGUUUUGUGCUUCCAUGUGGAUAUUAGGAAACGCUUCAGUAGGGAAAGAAUAUCGCUAUACAUAUAUAUAUAUAUAUCCAUCCUGAGAAGUGAGCCAAAUCCCAGUGUUGAAUUUUUGAGCCGACUGUUCAGUUCUCUGCUGUGUGCAGUUGGGUUCCUGUGUUACCCCAGAGCUGUGUCUCGGUGCUGGUGGUAGCUGUGCUGCAGUCUGUGAUCUACUGUCACUCUCGUUACUUGGAUGAAAUAAACUAUUGUUUCUGUAUAAUGAAGGACUCUCCAACUAGAAUAAAACCAUCUCUCUUUCUCUUGCUCUU